Molecule: long non-coding RNA, 5738 nt
Filed under: Hordeum vulgare
Lineage: Eukaryota; Viridiplantae; Streptophyta; Magnoliopsida; Poales; Poaceae
Description: long non-coding RNA (HVUL_LNC020014)
Source: RNAcentral
AUGUGUUGCUGCUCUAGAGGCCAAAGCAAAGGCAUCUACUUCACUGGACCGUCAGCCAGCCCACUAUACCGCUUCCACUACUAGUCUUCGCUAAAGGUGAUCCAUAGGAGUGACCAUGUCCAAUCAUCCAUCCAGUCUUGCACUACCGAUGCAAGGAGAAGAGUGGAGCAAUCGGUUCAAUCCGCUCCUGAUGUGAGGACGCCAGCGUGCCUCGCUUGAUUGAAUCCAUGAGAGGUGUGGGAUCGCUGCAGGUCGAUGCGUGUGAUGGGAGCCUGCGAUCGACCCCUCUACUUCGGUGAUCUCUACCCUUUCUUCCAUCUUCUCCGAGGGUAUCCAGCGCAAGGAACCCAGCGGACGUGUGGGAUGUGGGUACCCGAUCCUCGCAUGUAUGCGGCGUGUAGUCUCCCAACUUCGUGCCAGCGCCCGAACAAUGGAUCUUUUAUUCGAUCUUGUAGGCUGGUGGCCAAGGCAUGGCGAUUUGCCUAUUCAUCUCCCGAUCUCUGAUUGGUAUGUUACUACCUCAAUUUCCUUCAGAUUUUUCUUGGAGUUGGUCAACACGAUGCUAUCCAAUCCUGAUUCACUCCCUUCCAAACAGAAAGAACGAAAAGCAUUCAGUGAGCUGGUUUUUACUGUUGGGGAUGGUAGGGUGUGUGAAAAUAGAUGUAACAGUAGAUCCCUAUUUACAUGCUUAUCAAGGCGGGUGAUUAUAAAAUAUCAGCCAUUAUCCAUCUUUUCUAUGUAGAUAUAAAAAAAUUAUCACCAGGAAUAUUUACAAAACUGUGCUAUCACCUAUCAAGUUGAUGCCAUAUAUCUACUUGUACUAAAGAUGGUGCCAACUCGAUCUCGAUAAUAUUGAAGGUAUGAUUAUAUUUCAAGACUGGAUGUCAAGCUAAUAAACUUAGACGAACCAUGUCGAUAUUAAAUAUUUUAAUGCUAUUACAAUAACUAAUUUCUGACACCAUAGAUUGGUCCUUAAGGUUGGAUCUCUUGUUAUGCUGCUCUGGAACAUUAACCAAACCAUUGGCCUAUGUAAUGGAAAAGAUCGACCAUCACUCGAUUAGCAACUCAAAUAGUUGAGGCUACUAUCAUGACACACUUGAAUAAUGGAUCUCCGGUUUACAUACAUAGAAUUACUUUGAUGCCAAAAUACAAAAUAUCCAUUUUAUCUCACAAGACGGCAAUAUCAUAUACGUCUCUGCUACUCAAUGAAAAUUAACAGAAGUCAAAGAAAACAAUUUAAUCUGUUGGAAUUUAUUUGGAAAAACCAAGAAUCACCCAUGGACAGUUGUACUUGGAAAUUAUGCCAGUUAUAUUGAGAAAAUGUCAAAAAUAAGGAGUCAUGCAAUAUUAUAUUAAACGUCAUAUAUCGUGAGGUCAUUUAUGUUACACAACAACAAUAAGUCAACAUGAGUAUUGUAGAUUAUACAUGACCUUAUUUAUAUGUAUUUAGCAAAUAAAGGUUGUAUUUGGCUUAUACAAAUAAAGAUUACUUCCCACUUCUUAUACGUAGGUUUCACCCUUUCAUGUACAUAUCCCACUCGUAAGAUUCCCCAUGUUUGAUGUUCAUGCUCCCACUAACUGUACAUGUGUACAACUUUCACGCCAAUUAGCUUCUAUUAGAUCUGAACCCAUUCCUUAGGCAUGUCAUCGUGCUUGCAAGCUCUUCAUUGGAUUUCUACAAGGACAAGAAAUUUACUCAUCUUGACACGUGAACAUGCCUACUAAUACAUAUUAGCGUGUAUUCUAUGUUAAAUAAUGUAUUGUCCAUGUGUUUAAUAAUGAUAUUUCUAUAUAGGGAAAUAAGACGUAUGGGAAGAUACAUGUGAUGCAUGCAAAUACAUCCUUUCCUCAUCAAGGAUUUCUUUUUUAAAUCAGCAAAGAACAUUAAUAAGCCCAUGGAAGGAAGUUCCACAAAAGUAACUCCAUGGUUGAAGAUCUAGGUGGACCGUGAUGUCCUUGUCAGUUAUCCUCCCUAUGCAUAUUCAGUUAUUGAUUUUAUACAUGUACCCUCUAUUUUUGGAAAGACAGACUCCUUUAUAGGCAGGGAAAUUCUACGUUUUUGCUUUACUAUAUUUCUGGUCCACAUUGUUUAUUUACUAUAUUUAUGGUCCAUUUAUCAUGCUCCUAUUUCAAUGUACAUAUGUUGUUGAAAUAGUUCAGUAAUCUCAUGUGUCUUGAAGGUUUGACUCCCUGCUCGAGCCUAGGAUUAUGUCAAGAUGAACAUCCACAUAACAGAUAUUGAGUAGGCUUUCUCAUUGAAAUUAUGAGACUAUCUAUUAUCAUCGUUAACUUUUCACUAUCUAUUAUCCUCUGAAUUCUCAUUAUAGUCAUUGAAUCACCUAUAUUUAGGUCAAUUUUAUAAUCAAUUCUCACAUUACCAAGUCAUUAUUAUAAUUGUUGGCAACAAGUUAAUUACUACAACUAAAAGUAACUAUAUUUGUGACCUGUUAAAUUCUCCAAUGACAGGUGAACACUAGCAUUGACAACAAUGGCACCAACAGAACAUAGAAUAUGUUGAUCACUCGUGCAAUUGGUCACACACUUACUACAACAGUAUAGCCAUCUACCAAAUUAUAAAGUACUUUACAUAUUUCUUCAAUGCAUGACUCCAACAUAGUUGUCUCCAAAUCUAUGAGAAAAAACACCAUUGAUUGCCAGCCGACAAACACAGAAUGAUCCAAAGGCACCUAGCACAAAUGCAUCCAUCAUUUCUGUAUGUUUUACUUAUUAUGUCGUCUGCGUGCGACAACUAUCACUCAGCUGGGUGAUAGACUUUGUGUUUGCCAGUUCCAACUUACAUGUACUGUGUUUUUGAAGAAAAGUUAUACUUAUCUGAACUGAAUUAUAUGAUACUUGGAUCUCUACAAUCAACCUUAUUUAUACUCUAAAGUGAUGUUUGGCUUUGCGACAUUACGAUCCUGCAUCUCUAUUUCCAUUACUGUUGUAAUUCUUGAUUGUAUUUCUAGAAAUAUCCAACUAUUCUACUGUCUUCUUAUCCAUGUAUAUACAUGAGUUUCUUUUAAUUUAUUCACUUAUAUAUGUACAUAAAAUUGCUCUAUUAUCAGCCAUUUUCUUCUUUGUAAGGGUGGGCAGUUGCUACCUCUUUAUUAUGAAGGUCUCUUGUAUUAUACUUUCACUUUCUCAUCCUACAUUUUCCCCUUCUCCAUUUUCAUGGUUGAGAUGCUACAAUAAUAAUCCAACCGAUAGUAUUAAUGGGAAUGCUUUCUUGAAUUCGUCACAAGGUCAUGUGGAUAGUUUUUUAGGUGCAUAUUGUACAUAUAUUAUCGCAUUUAAGUUGAUUAUCUCCUGAUCAGUAUCAUUUUUUUCAUAAAUAACACCAUGUUGAAAUGACUUUAGUAGUUAGUUGUGAGAAAAAUCCUGAAUAUGGAGCUCACUUGGUGUUUGGUAUCAUUCUUUUCUUCCGCGAUGAUGAAUGUUGAAAUUCAAUUCACUAUGCAACCGACUUUUAGUACUUUCACUAGACAUGCGCGUGAUUGCUCGCGCACACACACAACAAACUUAUUUCGAUCAUACAAAAAAUUGUAAAGCUAUAUCAUAAAACAUUCCAAAUAGAAGGGCACGACAAUGUGCGCCAUCAAGGAUAUAGUACUACAAAACACCUAGGUCCUUUCAUGGUACUCUAGUCUUUAAAGCAACAUGAAUACACUACUGAUCUUCGGAUUAAAUUUAGAUUAGAUACAUUACAAUAUCAAUACAGAUAGAUAAUAUGGACUAGGCACAUUAGACAUAUACAAAUAAAAUUAGUUAUUUACCAAUUGUAGUACUUUACAUGUGAUAUAAGCAUGAUGCUCGCGCACUAACGACGAGGCACUCACAUUUGGGACGACCAAUUUGCUAGUUGUUCCCGAAUGGAAGUUGUUGUUGUGAUUGUAAACAUGUCAAACCCUCAUUUAUUUUUACUCUUUGCCAUUUAGAACCCGUGUGUGACUUUGAAUUCUGCUCAUCAUGUUAGCUAGGUUGUUCUACACAUCUAUGUUGUAGUAGGUGUAAUGAGAAGACGACAACAACCUAAUGAAUAUGACAAAAGAUAGAAAUUGCAUGUCAGCAGGGAGGGGAGGUACCCCACAUGGAUAUAUUACAAAUUUUGAGUUUGUUACCAAGACACACAAGGGUUCACAUGAAAACUGAAGAAAUGUACAUAUUUUUAGCAUGCACUCAAAUCACACCAACCUCCACAUUCAAAUCAAUUAAAGAUGCAUAAGAGAACCUAUAAAUAAAUUGCAUCAACCCAGCAAAAUAAAAUUCAAUACCACCAAACACCUCAAACAACCAAUAAUAUUGCUCGAUCGGAGAUCCUUCAUUUCAUUGGACUACUCACUCGGGGGAGUACCAAGUUGUUUUGUUUUGGACCUUUUUCCUCCGUCACAGCCCCUACUUAUAUGUGACAUCUACUCACUCCUGCUUCUUCCUCAAAUUUCUUUCUCUUCUUCCAACUGCCACCACCAAGUGAUGGCAAUAAUUGGGGUGAUUGAGGUGGGACCUGAUGAGAUAGGUGUUGGAAUUAUGCCCUAGAGGCAAUAAUAAAUAUAGUUAUUAUUAUAAUUCCUGUAUCAAGAUAAUCGUUUAUUAUCCAUGCUAUAAUUGUAUUGAAUGAAGACUCAUUUUCAUGUGUGGAUACAUAGACAAAACGCUGUCCCUAGCAAGCCUCUAGUUGGCUGGCCAGUUGAUCAACGAUAGUCAGUGUCUUCUGAUUACGAACAAGGUGUUGUUGCUUGAUAACUGGAUCACGUCAUUAGGAGAAUCACGUGAUGGACUAGACCCAAACUAAUAGAUGUAGCAUGUUGAUCGUGUCAUUUUAUUGCUACUGUUUUCUGCGUGUCAAGUAUUUAUUCCUAUGACCAUGAGAUCAUAUAACUUACUAACACCGGAGGAAUACUUUGUGUGUAUCAAACGUCGCAACGUAACUGGGUGACUAUAAAGAUGCUCUACAGGUAUCUCCNUGUAGAUUAUACAUGACCUUAUUUAUAUGUAUUUAGCAAAUAAAGGUUGUAUUUGGCUUAUACAAAUAAAGAUUACUUCCCACUUCUUAUACGUAGGUUUCACCCUUUCAUGUACAUAUCCCACUCGUAAGAUUCCCCAUGUUUGAUGUUCAUGCUCCCACUAACUGUACAUGUGUACAACUUUCACGCCAAUUAGCUUCUAUUAGAUCUGAACCCAUUCCUUAGGCAUGUCAUCGUGCUUGCAAGCUCUUCAUUGGAUUUCUACAAGGACAAGAAAUUUACUCAUCUUGACACGUGAACAUGCCUACUAAUACAUAUUAGCGUGUAUUCUAUGUUAAAUAAUGUAUUGUCCAUGUGUUUAAUAAUGAUAUUUCUAUAUAGGGAAAUAAGACGUAUGGGAAGAUACAUGUGAUGCAUGCAAAUACAUCCUUUCCUCAUCAAGGAUUUCUUUUUUAAAUCAGCAAAGAACAUUAAUAAGCCCAUGGAAGGAAGUUCCACAAAAGUAACUCCAUGGUUGAAGAUCUAGGUGGACCGUGAUGUCCUUGUCAGUUAUCCUCCCUAUGCAUAUUCAGUUAUUGAUUUUAUACAUGUACCCUCUAUUUUUGGAAAGACAGACUCCUUUAUAGGCAGGGAAAUUCUACGUUUUUGCUUUACUAUAUUUCUGGUCCACAUUGUUUAUUUACUAUAUUUAUGGUCCAUUUAUCAUGCUCCUAUUUCAAUGUACAUAUGUUGUUGAAAUAGUUCAGUAAUCUCAUGUGUCUUGAAGGUUUGACUCCC